UGAUGGUCAACCAGGAAGCAGAAGAAAACAUGAACAAAAGCUUUUACUGUGGUUUCCAUGGGAAGGAACUGCCAAGGUUUGCAAAUGGUUUGGGUGUCCCCCCAAGGAUCCAUGUGGUGGAGGCUUUGCCCCCAGGAAGCCCCUGGCACUGCUACCCAGUAGGUGGUGACUCAGACAAGGGAAACUCUCACCAAGCCUAUGCUAUGCUGUCUGGACCCUCAGCUUCCAAAGCUGGAGCUGAAUCAACUUUUCUUUACGGAGGCAGCCUGUGUCAAGUAUUUGACUAACAUGGAACAGAAGAGGCAAGCUCACGCAUUGCUAGACAAUGCUCUACCGCCGAGGUACAUCUCUAGUCCACCUAUGAAGACACCUGAUUAGAGUCAAGUCAGCUUGGAGUUACCCUAACAGUCAACUCAACGACAAAGCCUCAAACAGAGAGCAAGUGUGGAAAUAUGACAUACAAAGACCAAGUUUGGAAAUACGGCCCAAAUCUUGUAUAAGAAAUGUUUUCAAAACCUUUAGAAAGAAUGGUAACAAUGUAAGAAUAACAGAAAUGAUAACAAGGCUUAAAGGGCCAGAGAGUUCAAGGGUUUUGCUAGUCAUGCCAAUAAAUCAGCAGUGCUUAAAGACAAAAAUACAAUCUUCAGCUGCAUCCCAGAAAGGUCAACCAAUGUCUUGAUAGGAUUUCUACAGGGCAUGUCCUUCAAGGGGAGACUUGUUAAUUCUCGGGGAUGUUGUUGAGAAGAGUUAAAAUAGACUUUAUCAAGUGGAGAGUAAAAACUCUGUAAUAAAGAACAGGUAACUAAUAGCUACCAAUAUUUAAUCUGGAGAGGGAAAUAUUUGGAGGGUAUACAAUAGCUAUCUUCAAAUACUCAAAGAGGUAAUUACCUUGAAGAGAUAUUUGCUUUUUAUGGUUCACAGGAUAUAAAAAGACCCAAACUAUCCGCAAGUUAGGAAGAAGUGGGGUUUUGUUUGCUUCUAUAAAGGAAGAAUUUCUGACAUUCAAGCUAUCUGCAAAUGUAACACGUUGCUUGUAAGAUUAUGAGUUUCCUGCAUGUGAAGCUUUCCAAAUAGAAACUCAUUGGUCCUUGAAUACACGAUACAGUCUUUUCUGUAAAAAGGCUUUGCAAGCCAUACUGCUUGCGUCCUAAAUACUCAACUCCCCCACUGUAACGUCAAAGGAGCCAGGGGCAACACUUAGCAACUGAGUGUGGCUGCAUCUCAAUACAAUUUCAUGGAGGAGAGGGGUGGCAUGGUUGCCUGGAAUUGGUAGCACAGGGUAUAGUUUGUCAAUUUCUGGAUUGCACUUGAAAUCAUUCGAAUCUGAUUUUAAUAGUCACCUGGUAAAGAAGGCUAUCAAGAGAUAUUCCAUAUACACACAUAAACAUUCAAUAAUAUUUAUUUCCCCCAAAUUAACAUAUUCAAAGAGACAAACACAAAAACCUUUUUACUUUUUUUUUCCCCCCCUAAAAGAACAGCUUCAGUUGGAGGCUGGAAGGGGUAAUUGUACCUCUAAUAGCUGGCUCCACCAGGCACAGAAAUUAGGCACAUAGGUUCAAGCAGAGUUGAUCCAAUGCGGAUUCAAAGCAAACCCCCAGCAUGAUGCAUGACCUCCAGGAGGACAAAGAACAGUGCAAAACAAUAACAAUGUAAACGUAAGACAAAAGUGAAAGGGUUAACAGCUGAGUCAGAGAGUUCUCUGAGGAUGCCAGGAGAGGAAGGCUUCACUCUAUCCAUUUUGAUAGUUUAGCACGAUCUACCGUCAUGUAGCUGAUUCAAAAAAGUGAUGGGUUCAUCUUCCUGUCCCUCAGGAGGGAGCACCCUACUGAGCUCACACCCAAACCUUGUCACUGACCUAUGUGUCUCUCGGAAAAGUUGACCUCGACACGAUGGCAGGGUGGUGGAUUUUCAUCCCAUAAACUGACUACAACGUGCAGAACAUUAACUUUAACCAACUAGGAUAGAGGACAGCAAUGUCGGAACCACACGCCUACAAGGCGCCCACUGAGGGCUGUGUGGGUGCGCCCAGAUCUCACAGCCAGCCAGUGUGCAGCACCGUCCACUGGAAAACAAGACCAACAAACACUGAGUUUAAGUAUUCCUUAAAACCCAAACUCUUCUCCGAGGUUGAAUCCAGAAACUGUCUGCACAGGAUUUAUAAUCUGGUGUCUACUCAGUGGCUUUAUAAAAACAUGGAAAGAAAAGAUGGCAGUUAAAGGGCCUGCUAAUUCACUGCCAGUUCACCACUGUGGUUCACGUUUCUUGCCUGGCAGGUCAGGCAAUACUCCCAAUGCCCAGAGCCCUGGCACCAGGCAAGCCUUUCAGCCAGCAGCACUCAGGAGGCAGCGGAGCUCACGCUGCCUACAUGGCUCCACUCCCAGACUCAGCCCAGGAAAAGCAAGCCUCUCCAGGCUCCGAAGCCCCUGAGCUAAUGGAGUCCAGUCUUGGCUACCCUGGGAAAGGUGAAUCCAAGCUUCCAACAAACACGAGGUCCUCAAGCCACCCCCUACCCUCAAGUACUGCUGGCCCGUCUGGCAAGUCCCUGUGCCAUUUCUGAGACUGCCUCUCUCCCCAGUGAAUUCAGAGGAUAGACAUGAGAAGAGUACCCCUAAAAACUGCCACAGGGUCUCAGACAAAGCCCUAGAACGUGUGCUCUCUUCUGAGUGUUCUUUUCCGGAUCAGAACAUCACAGCCACCUGGCUCCUGAGGCACUGAAGCCAUCAGGACAAGGGAGUGUCUUCGGCAGCCUCUUGUUUGAGCUGUUAAGAAGAAUCUUCCCACAUGUGCCUGCCCUGGAGUUUCUGUGUAAGUCUAUGACAGAAGUGCAUCAAGGGUGAGGACCACGUCCUGCUGAUCUUUACAACCCAGCACCAAAAACCAUGAUUCAUAGUGUCUUCGCAAUGGAUGUAUGUUAGAUUUAUCUGCAGUUUCUGUUCCCAUGUUGGUGACACAGAGCUAUAGUCUGGAUCCUGAAUGUCCCCAACGGCCUGUGUGUUAAAGGCCUGGUCCCCAGCUUGUCACCAUUGGGAGAUGAUGAAACUUUAAGAUGGGGGCCUCCUAGGAGGUCUUCUAGUCCUCAGAGGCUCUUAACAUGCGACCUUGGCUCUUCUUUUCUACCCUCAGCAUCCUGGCCACGGGGCAAGUGGUUCUGCUCCACCACACACUACCACCUCGAUGUACUGCCCUGCCACAGGCCCAAGAGCAACAGGGCCAACAGCUCAUGAACUGAACUCUGAAAUUGUGAGCCAAAUAAACCAUCUUUCUCUAUAAGCUGAUCAUCUCGGGUACAUUUUUAAUGAUAAUGAAAGCUGUAUGCACAGUAACCCCAAAUAGUUGAAUAAUUAUCCUUAAACCUGCACUUCUUUCAAUGCAAAGCUGGGGUAUAGCCAAUAAUUAUUCAUGAUAUAUCCCACAGCUGGAAAUAUUUUUUUGAGGGAGAUGAAAAUACUGGAAAUACAGGAAAACAGAAAUCUUUCAAUUUUGGGUUUUAUAUUAAUAAAUGUUGAUAUUUAAUUUGGUGGUUAAUGGAUAUUAAUAUUAAUAAAAAUUAUUUUUAAUAUUAAUAUGACUUAAUCAUUAAAUAUCACUAUUCUAAACUCCUCACAGGGAGAAUGCCAAUAUCAUUCUUUACCAUGCCAAGCUGACCUAAAUACCUGUCUUGGAAAAAAAACCACAUGCAUACAUAUAAAUAUAUACAAGCAUAUGCAUGCUUGUCAUUGCUAUCACAACAUCAUUACUGCAAAGAAUUGAUAUCUCAAAUUUCAAAAUUUCUAAUGAUCACCGAGACUGUUCUUAGAGAAUUUUCCAAUUACAAGGCAAUGUUUAUAAUGAUGGCUUGUGGAUCAAAAUAUUCAGCAUAGUCUCACAAAUAUGACUUUAUUAUUGCCACACUGGUCCUGUUAUUCUCUCUGGACUCACACUGUGUAAACUAUAAAAAAUAAAGUCCUACUACAGAAAGGGAGACAACAAAGAAACGGGACAUUUGCAUUAAUGACAGUGAAGACACUGGCAAAGCAACAACACAUCCAAGCAUCAGAAUGGUGGUGGUACCACGCUGCACACGGUGCCACCGUCCUGCCCUUGCUGCAAACUCCUGUGGGUCAGUUCACUUAACU
Long non-coding RNA from Cavia porcellus (domestic guinea pig), 4115 nucleotides. RefSeq lists it as uncharacterized. The record is from RefSeq and is a predicted model, not a curated record. Lineage: Eukaryota; Metazoa; Chordata; Mammalia; Rodentia; Caviidae. The transcript has 3 exons.